GAUGAACGCUGGCGGCGUGCCUAAUACAUGCAAGUCGAGCGAACAGACGAGGAGCUUGCUCCUCUGACGUUAGCGGCGGACGGGUGAGUAACACGUGGAUAACCUACCUAUAAGACUGGGAUAACUUCGGGAAACCGGAGCUAAUACCGGAUAAUAUAUUGAACCGCAUGGUUCAAUAGUGAAAGACGGUUUUGCUGUCACUUAUAGAUGGAUCCACGCUGCAUUAGCUAGUUGGUAAGGUAACGGCUUACCAAGGCAACGAUGCGUAGCCGACCUGAGAGGGUGAUCGGCCACACUGGAACUGAGACACGGUCCAGACUCCUACGGGAGGCAGCAGUAGGGAAUCUUCCGCAAUGGGCGAAAGCCUGACGGAGCAACGCCGCGUGAGUGAUGAAGGUCUUCGGAUCGUAAAACUCUGUUAUUAGGGAAGAACAUAUGUGUAAGUAACUGUGCACGUCUUGACGGUACCUAAUCAGAAAGCCACGGCUAACUACGUG
This 497-nucleotide ribosomal RNA is filed under the name uncultured bacterium. Its description in RNAcentral is "partial 16S ribosomal RNA". It matches the Rfam family "Bacterial small subunit ribosomal RNA", at positions 28 to 507 of the family's 1533-position model. The record is from RNAcentral.